RNAcentral lists this ribosomal RNA (497 nucleotides) under uncultured bacterium. RNAcentral describes it as "partial 16S ribosomal RNA". It matches the Rfam family "Bacterial small subunit ribosomal RNA", at positions 28 to 507 of the family's 1533-position model. The record is from RNAcentral.
GAUGAACGCUGGCGGCGUGCCUAAUACAUGCAAGUCGAGCGAACAGAUCAGGAGCUUGUUCCUUUGACGUUAGCGGCGGACGGGUGAGUAACACGUGGGUAACCUACCUAUAUGACUGGGAUAACUACGGGAAACCGGAGCUAAUACCGGAUAACAUUUGGAACCGCAUGGUUCUAAAGUGAAAGAUGGUUUUGCUAUCACUUAUAGAUGGACCCGCGCCGUAUUAGCUAGUUGGUAAGCUAACGGCUUACCAAGGCAACGAUACGUAGCCGACCUGAGAGGCUGAUCGGCCACACUGGAGCUGAGACACGGUCCAGACUCCUACGAGAGGCAGCAGUAGGGAAUCUUCCGCAAUGGGCGAAAGCCUGACGGAGCAACGCCGCGUGAGUGAUGAAGGGUUUCGGCUCGUAAAACUCUGUUAUUAGGGGAGAACAACAGUGUCAGUAACUGUGCACGUCUUGACGGUACCUGAUCAGAAAGCCACGGCUAACUACGUG